Molecule: long non-coding RNA, 1176 nt
Filed under: Equus caballus (horse)
Lineage: Eukaryota; Metazoa; Chordata; Mammalia; Perissodactyla; Equidae
Description: lncRNA (ENSECAG00000050491.1)
Source: RNAcentral
CCCGUUUCUUCUGCAUGUCCCCACUUCCUUAGGAGCCCGGACUCUGCCUCAGGCAGGCUGCCGGCUUUUUGAGCAGGGCGUGUGUGGGCCUCAAGCACCAGCUCCUGGUACGGCUCCUGCUGAUCUCUGCGAGCGUGGCCGCAAGCCUGCUGUCAACCGCACAGGCCCUUAUCUGCCGAGCCCCGGCCCGUGGGGAUUCCAGGACGGCCACGUUCUGGUGAUGUUGCUGCAGAUGCUGCUGGAUUUUUUCAGGAAGAUCUCCUUUGAAUUCGGGAAAUAUUCUGAGGUGUGCUGGAGCAGGCUCGUGCCAGCAGAAAGAGCGGAUUUGUGUGCAUCACUUGCCAAGGCCAGGCUCAGUGACAUGACGUGGUAGUUUGAAAUCCACCGUGGAGGGAGUAUUUACCCCGGGGAAAUCAGCAAACUUUACAAAUCAGGGCUUAUAUAUGUUUGUUUUUUCCCAGAGCACCCACUUACAGCACACCACUGGAAAUAGCCAUUAAAAAAAAAUCCCUCAUGGGCCCACAGCCUGUGCAAUUAGAAUCUUCUCCAUCCCACUCUCCCCAUCUUUCUGGAAGCGCUUGUUGCUAAACGGGAGCAAAACAAAUGUGAAUUAUACACCAUCUUUUGAAGGGACGUCGUUCUUUUCAAUCCUCAUGGAUUGCCUUCCCUUUAUGAGGACUUCCGGUUGAUUCCGCGGGCUGCAGGAUCACUCAGUUCUCCUACCAUCUGAUGUCUCCUUCCUUUUCUUUAUAUCGACUUCUCUGUGGGUUUAUUUCUAACAACCUCAUGAUCCAACAAGCAGUGCUGUCUCUUCACAGUGGUCCUCGAACCCCCAGGAGGAUUGCUAUGAACACAGAUUUCAGGGCCCAGCCUCCAAAACACUCCGUCAGCGGCUCUGGGUUGGGGCCCAGGAAUCUGUAUGUUUAAUCGGCUCCCCAGGUGGCUCUGACAUAGUCAGCCCAGGUCCAGACUGUGGGGUGGCUGACAUUUGGAAACCACUACAAAAACACCUGGGGAUAUACGUUGGGCUCCUCCUCAGCAGCUUCUGAGAGUUAGAACCCAGCCAGGCUGAGGUUGCAGGACUCACUCAGCCUGUUCUGUUUUCCAGGUUGACGGGCGACAUCUGAGGGCUUCUGCUCUGUCAUCCUUCAGCCCACACAUAUGGGGAGUCUCGAU